RNAcentral lists this ribosomal RNA (215 nucleotides) under Nasutitermes longinasus. RNAcentral's name for it is "partial 16S ribosomal RNA". It matches the Rfam family "Bacterial large subunit ribosomal RNA", at positions 2468 to 2699 of the family's 2925-position model. The record is from RNAcentral. Lineage: Eukaryota; Metazoa; Arthropoda; Insecta; Blattodea; Termitidae.
UUAGGGAUAACAGCGUUAUCCUCCUUGAGAGUUCUUAUUGGCGGGGGGUUGCGACCUCGAUGUUGGAUUAAGGUGAAUUUUCGGUGUAGGAGCUGAAAGUGAUUAGGUCUGUUCGACCUUUAAAAUCUUACAUGAUCUGAGUUCAGACCGGCGUGAGCCAGGUUGGUUUCUAUCUAUAGAGUUGUUUUAUAUCUUAGUACGAGAGGACCGGGUAU